This 581-nucleotide long non-coding RNA is filed under the name Fukomys damarensis (Damara mole-rat). Its description in RNAcentral is "lncRNA (ENSFDAG00000032718.1)". Lineage: Eukaryota; Metazoa; Chordata; Mammalia; Rodentia; Bathyergidae. The record is from RNAcentral.
UUCUACUUGUUAAUUCUGUCUAAUAUUUCCUGUGCAAUUGCAAUUUUGUUCAUAAAGUCUUUUCCUACACUUAUUGUCUUCAAGAGUUUUAUCGAUUCUAUUGAAUUAAAAUAAAUUAAAAUAAAACAGAAUAAAAAUGACACUUUAGAAGAACUCCAAGCAGGCCUCGGAGGAGCCAAGCCACGUGGGCUGCCAGCAGCACCACCUUCUGUGGCUCUGAAGAGCACCUCAGGCCUCUGGCUGCCAGUAGCUGGAUCCAUAACACAGAGGCCCAGAGGGUCAUAAAGGCCAUUGUUCUGAGUUCCAGAAGAUAGAGCAGAAGUGAACAACAGAGAGAGGGCCUCUCUGAGGCUCCUUAAUAUAAAUUGAAGCCCCCUGGAAAAAAUGAAGUAAAUCUCUGCAAUAAAGUCACACCAGACCACAUAGUUGACUUGUGCCCUGCAGUAAACUCCAGAGGACGGGCAGGUCUGUUUCACUCUCCAUCCUGUGAUCAGCACAUCUCUGGGUCUCCUGCUGUCCUCCUCUGUAUUUUUGCUCUUAAGAAUCAUAUGCGAGGAAGCUCUGCCAAGUGUCCCGGGUAA